AACACUUCUGGUUCAAGACAGCUUCUCCAGAUCAGCCCACAGUGAUUCGUGGCUUACCAAAACACAAACGUAAAGGCAGCAAGGGCAGCGCAGGAGAAAAGGAAAAGAUGCUGGUGCAGCAAGAAUGAAACUGUAACAUUUGUCUUCUCACGUCCCUGAAAGCUGCGGGAACCCCAAGUUUCUAAAGGACCUGGUGAGCGAAAAGCAUGGCAGGAGCUGUGUGAGAGAGAGCGCUACUUGUGGGGGCCGGGAGGAAUGGAGGUGUCCACAUCUGAGACCUGGUGAGUGGUGAGGAAGCCAGGAGGCUCUGCUGUGGAGGCCAUAGGGGAAGCUAGCUGCAGAAGACCAUAACUUCAAUCUGGAAACUGAAGUGAACACAGGAAGGGGUUUGGCCCAACAAGGGGAAGUUCAGCUUCUGUGUGCUGCCAGUGACGUUGCUUAGACAUUGUUUUCUGAUUGUAAGAGUGAGUUGUGUGUUGUAUUCACAGAAAGGGGUGGACAUCCCCCCAAAUCAUCUUGUAAGAACUCUGAAUUUUAGCUGGUUACAUGUCUGUCCAGGCAAAGACUGCAUUUCCCAGACUCCCUUUCAGCUAACGUGGCCACGUAAUUAAAUUAUGGCUUUGGUCGUGAUGUUUGCAAACUCCCAGAUACCAACUCAACAACUCAAAUGUGAGUGCUGUUCCUGUUUUGGUCAGUCAACACAGUAUCUUACCAGGAUACCAUAUGAUGGAAGGAAUAGAAAUUAACGUCCUUUCCUGUGAGUUAACCCUUGCAUUAUCCCCUCUUCUUUUUUAGGGCUCUGCCCUGUCCUGCCCCACAUUAUACUUUAUUCCCGUAUAAAAACCAAAGGUCAAGGCAAGAUCUGGAUUGAAAUUACAUUUAUUUAUCUAUACAAUGGGAUUUCUGCCAACAAUUAAAACCUUGAUUUUCUAUGCUGCUGAUGCUUUGUUUUAGGGCAGAGUAAUUUUCAGAUAGGUUUGUAUUAUAUAUACACGUAGCUAUAUAUGAUGCAUUCAUCCACCCAUCCAUCCAUCCAUUCUUUUCUGGAGUAAUUUGGCCAUGUAGUGUGUACAGGGAACUAUUCAAAUAAAAUAAGAACCAAUAUAUGAUAAGAGAUAUCAAAUGGGUUACAAUUCAUUGAUUCAUAUUCACAGAUAGAUGAACAGAACAAAUGAAACACAACUUAAUCUUAAAAUUCCUUAAAAUAAAUAGAAAUUAAAAAUCCAACAUAAACCAUUGUUAUGAAUGACUUACCAUUUGGAAUUUCCUCUAUUUCUAUAAAUGUAAUGAUUGAUGCUUUUGUAGCAUAAAAACCAUAGCCUAUGUGAAAUAUAUUGAUACAUUAUUAACUAGCAUAGGCUCUGUUUCUCUUUUUGUACCUGAAUUCAGUGUAGACAUGUAAAUGUCUGAUUGUCUGGCUGGAAACAACUGAAGUUGCAUAAAGGAUUUGCCAUUUUUAUCAUGGCACUAACUAGAUUUCAGAAGGUUUUUUCUACUUAUCUGGUUCUGGAGGUAACAUACUGCAUAUAUCAUUUGUGAACUAUAGGUACAUGUGGGUUAUCUAGGAAAGGGUAAGGAUUCUAAAACCAAGAACAUGUUCUCAGUUACAAUCUCUUUUUUUACUUACGUAUAAUCAGAAACAGGUGUAACUUUUCUUAAAGGAACAAUAACAGCUCACUCCCCUAUGCUAAAUACUAAAAAUCGCAAA
Lontra canadensis (Northern American river otter) is the source of this 1708-nucleotide long non-coding RNA. RefSeq lists it as uncharacterized. NCBI's taxonomy places the organism in Eukaryota, Metazoa, Chordata, Mammalia, Carnivora, Mustelidae. The record is from RefSeq and is a predicted model, not a curated record. The transcript is spliced from 4 exons.